AGCCCCAAGGUGUUAAACAUAUAAGAUUGCAAAUCUUAAGAGGCAGGCUAAUCACCUGCUGGGGCUU
RNAcentral lists this transfer RNA (67 nucleotides) under Icelinus borealis (northern sculpin). Its description in RNAcentral is "tRNA-Cys". Lineage: Eukaryota; Metazoa; Chordata; Actinopteri; Perciformes; Cottidae. The record is from RNAcentral.